This 1503-nucleotide unclassified non-coding RNA is filed under the name Limulus polyphemus (Atlantic horseshoe crab). RNAcentral describes it as "n-alpha-acetyltransferase 60-like, transcript variant X6". The record is from RNAcentral. Lineage: Eukaryota; Metazoa; Arthropoda; Merostomata; Xiphosura; Limulidae.
CGCUGAGCCACUGGGGGCUAAUCUCUCAAGAUUUGAUAUUGUUAGAAAUAUCACAUAUUUGAUCUCCAGACGUCACUGUAUGCAAGUCUUAAAAUCACAGGUCCAGGAACAGGAUUAAGAAAAACGAAAACAGUGACUGUUUAUGGUGAGUGAAAACUGAGACUCUCCAUUGGAGUUCUUAAUUCUUCAGAAAAUUACUUGGAACAUUGCACCACUCCACAGUUCAUCUGAAAAAUAGCCAAAAAUGGAUUGUGAGGUCUAAAUUCCAUUUACAUGUCCUGGGUAUCUUGCCCUUUCCAAUCCUGAUAUAGCCAAUGAAGCAAAGAUAGAGAUUGUUUUAUAUGUUAAUUCCCUGUGAGGAAUGGUGGCAGAAAAAGCUGAAUGACUCGUGUGCCACUGUGUAAUGACAGCAAUGUCCAGCUUCGAUUUUUGGUUCCUGAAGACCUUCCUGAGAUUAAGAAGCUGUGCAGAGAGUGGUUUCCUAUUGAAUACCCUCAUAGCUGGUAUGAAGAUAUAAGUUGCAACAGAAAAUUCUUCUCCCUUGCAGCUGUAUACAAGUUCCAAAUCAUUGGGUUAAUUGUAGUGGAAAUAAAACCACAGGGUAAAUGUAACAAAGAGGAUCAAGGCCUUCUUUCAUCUCACUUUCCCAAAACAUCAUUAGUAGCUUAUAUUUUAACUCUGGGUGUAGUACAAGAAUUUCGAAGAAAUGGAAUAGCUACUUUACUGCUGGAUAGUGUAAUAUCUCAUCUGACCAAUAGUUCUGAAACUGCUGACUGCAAAGCAAUAUACCUGCACGUGUUGACCACUAACACUACAGCCAUUCAGUUCUAUGAACAGAGAAAGUUUAAAGUUCAUUCAUUCCUCCCCUUGUACUACAAUGUCCAUGGAGUUGCAAAGGAUGGUUACUCUUAUGUUCUGUAUGUAAAUGGAGGACAUCCACCCUGGACUAUAUUAGACUACCUGAAACACUGGGGACGGACAAUAUCACGUAUAGAACUGUGUUCCUUGCCUAAACAUCUAAUGACAGCAAUUGGUACAGUGAUUGCCAGUAUUCUACCAACAGGACUAAGGAGCAACCUUUCAGUUAGCUGAUAAUGUGUGAUUGAUGCUCUUAGCAUCAUUGAACAUUUCAAUUGUCAGAUCUCUCAGUACUUGUUAUGAGACACUGCUUCAUGUUCCAGUAGAAUGCUAUCAAAUGGAUUUAUUUCUGCAAAAAACAGUACACUGGAUCCUGUGAACUGUGGAAGAUAAUCUUAUGUCAACAAUUUCAUGAAUAGCUGUUGUUGAAAGCCCUUGAAAAACAGCAGAUGAAGCUUUGAAAAGUCCUUGAAAUUUAUCAUGAUGCUUGUGUGCGAACCCUGUGAUAAUAUAAUUUGUUCAGUACAUUUUUGAAAAGUAACUAAAUAAGAAAUACAAGUCCUGUUAUGUAAUUAGUUUCAGUAUGGAUAUGUACAUUAAACCUGUUAAUAAAAUAAAUGAGGUCCUCAUAUUUUUUAAAGUUGC